Molecule: ribosomal RNA, 478 nt
Filed under: uncultured Pseudomonadota bacterium
Lineage: Bacteria; Pseudomonadati; Pseudomonadota
Description: bacterial SSU rRNA
Rfam family: Bacterial small subunit ribosomal RNA
Source: RNAcentral
AGUUUGAUCAUGGCUCAGAUUGAACGCUGGCGGCAUGCUUUACACAUGCAAGUCGAACGGCAGCGGGGGCUUCGGUCCGCCGGCGAGUGGCGAACGGGUGAGUAAUGCAUCGGAACGUACCCAGUCGUGGGGGAUAACGCAGCGAAAGCUGUGCUAAUACCGCAUACGUCCUGAGGGAGAAAGCGGGGGACCUUCGGGCCUCGCGCGAUUGGAGCGGCCGAUGUCGGAUUAGCUAGUUGGUGGGGUAAAGGCUCACCAAGGCGACAAUCCGUAGCUGGUCUGAGAGGAUGAUCAGCCACACUGGGACUGAGACACGGCCCAGACUCCUACGGGAGGCAGCAGUGGGGAAUUUUGGACAAUGGGGGCAACCCUGAUCCAGCCAUGCCGCGUGAGUGAAGAAGGCCUUCGGGUUGUAAAGCUCUUUCAGUCGGGAAGAAACGGAGCGCUCUAACAUAGCGCUCUACUGACGGUACCGACA